UACGAAAGGUGCAAGCGUUACUCGGAAUCACUGGGCGUAAAGCGCACGUAGGCGGACUUACAGGUCAAUUGUGAAAUACCUGGGCUCAACCCGGGAACUGCAGUUGAAACCGUUUGUCUUGAAUACCUGAGAGGGUGGGGGAAUACCUGGUGGAGAAGUGAAAUUCGUAGAGAUCAGGUGGAACACCGGAGGCGAAGGCGCCUGCCUGGCAGUGUAUUGACGCUGAGGUGCGAAAGUGCGGGGAGCAAACAGG
Molecule: non-coding RNA, 253 nt
Filed under: uncultured bacterium
Lineage: Bacteria
Also listed under: 1 other name
Description: partial 16S ribosomal RNA
Rfam family: Bacterial small subunit ribosomal RNA
Source: RNAcentral